This 2903-nucleotide ribosomal RNA is filed under the name Escherichia coli. Its description in RNAcentral is "23S ribosomal RNA". It matches the Rfam family "Bacterial large subunit ribosomal RNA". Lineage: Bacteria; Pseudomonadati; Pseudomonadota; Gammaproteobacteria; Enterobacterales; Enterobacteriaceae. The record is from RNAcentral.
GUUAAGCGACUAAGCGUACACGGUGGAUGCCCUGGCAGUCAGAGGCGAUGAAGGACGUGCUAAUCUGCGAUAAGCGUCGGUGAGGUGAUAUGAACCGUUAUAACCGGCGAUUUCCGAAUGGGGAAACCCAGUGUGUUUCGACACACUAUCAUUAACUGAAUCCAUAGGUUAAUGAGGCGAACCGGGGGAACUGAAACAUCUAAGUACCCCGAGGAAAAGAAAUCAACCGAGAUUCCCCCAGUAGCGGCGAGCGAACGGGGAGGAGCCCAGAGCCUGAAUCAGUGUGUGUGUUAGUGGAAGCGUCUGGAAAGGCGUGCGAUACAGGGUGACAGCCCCGUACACAAAAAUGCACAUAUUGUGAGCUCGAUGAGUAGGGCGGGACACGUGGUAUCCUGUCUGAAUAUGGGGGGACCAUCCUCCAAGGCUAAAUACUCCUGACUGACCGAUAGUGAACCAGUACCGUGAGGGAAAGGCGAAAAGAACCCCGGCGAGGGGAGUGAAAAAGAACCUGAAACCGUGUACGUACAAGCAGUGGGAGCCUCUUAAUGGGGUGACUGCGUACCUUUUGUAUAAUGGGUCAGCGACUUAUAUUCUGUAGCAAGGUUAACCGAAUAGGGGAGCCGAAGGGAAACCGAGUCUUAACUGGGCGUUAAGUUGCAGGGUAUAGACCCGAAACCCGGUGAUCUAGCCAUGGGCAGGUUGAAGGUUGGGUAACACUAACUGGAGGACCGAACCGACUAAUGUUGAAAAAUUAGCGGAUGACUUGUGGCUGGGGGUGAAAGGCCAAUCAAACCGGGAGAUAGCUGGUUCUCCCCGAAAGCUAUUUAGGUAGCGCCUCGUGAAUUCAUCUCCGGGGGUAGAGCACUGUUUCGGCAAGGGGGUCAUCCCGACUUACCAACCCGAUGCAAACUGCGAAUACCGGAGAAUGUUAUCACGGGAGACACACGGCGGGUGCUAACGUCCGUCGUGAAGAGGGAAACAACCCAGACCGCCAGCUAAGGUCCCAAAGUCAUGGUUAAGUGGGAAACGAUGUGGGAAGGCCCAGACAGCCAGGAUGUUGGCUUAGAAGCAGCCAUCAUUUAAAGAAAGCGUAAUAGCUCACUGGUCGAGUCGGCCUGCGCGGAAGAUGUAACGGGGCUAAACCAUGCACCGAAGCUGCGGCAGCGACACUAUGUGUUGUUGGGUAGGGGAGCGUUCUGUAAGCCUGUGAAGGUGGCCUGUGAGGGUUGCUGGAGGUAUCAGAAGUGCGAAUGCUGACAUAAGUAACGAUAAAGCGGGUGAAAAGCCCGCUCGCCGGAAGACCAAGGGUUCCUGUCCAACGUUAAUCGGGGCAGGGUGAGUCGACCCCUAAGGCGAGGCCGAAAGGCGUAGUCGAUGGGAAACAGGUUAAUAUUCCUGUACUUGGUGUUACUGCGAAGGGGGGACGGAGAAGGCUAUGUUGGCCGGGCGACGGUUGUCCCGGUUUAAGCGUGUAGGCUGGUUUUCCAGGCAAAUCCGGAAAACCAAGGCUGAGGCGUGAUGACGAGGCACUACGGUGCUGAAGCGACAAAUGCCCUGCUUCCAGGAAAAGCCUCUAAGCAUCAGGUAACAUCAAAUCGUACCCCAAACCGACACAGGUGGUCAGGUAGAGAAUACCAAGGCGCUUGAGAGAACUCGGGUGAAGGAACUAGGCAAAAUGGUGCCGUAACUUCGGGAGAAGGCACGCUGAUAUGUAGGUGAAGCGACUUGCUCGUGGAGCUGAAAUCAGUCGAAGAUACCAGCUGGCUGCAACUGUUUAUUAAAAACACAGCACUGUGCAAACACGAAAGUGGACGUAUACGGUGUGACGCCUGCCCGGUGCCGGAAGGUUAAUUGAUGGGGUUAGCGGCAACGCGAAGCUCUUGAUCGAAGCCCCGGUAAACGGCGGCCGUAACUAUAACGGUCCUAAGGUAGCGAAAUUCCUUGUCGGGUAAGUUCCGACCUGCACGAAUGGCGUAAUGAUGGCCAGGCUGUCUCCACCCGAGACUCAGUGAAAUUGAACUCGCUGUGAAGAUGCAGUGUACCCGCGGCAAGACGGAAAGACCCCGUGAACCUUUACUAUAGCUUGACACUGAACAUUGAGCCUUGAUGUGUAGGAUAGGUGGGAGGCUUUGAAGUGUGGACGCCAGUCUGCAUGGAGCCGACCUUGAAAUACCACCCUUUAAUGUUUGAUGUUCUAACGUUGGCCCGUAAUCCGGGUUGCGGACAGUGUCUGGUGGGUAGUUUGACUGGGGCGGUCUCCUCCUAAAGAGUAACGGAGGAGCACGAAGGUUGGCUAAUCCUGGUCGGACAUCAGGAGGUUAGUGCAAUGGCAUAAGCCAGCUUGACUGCGAGCGUGACGGCGCGAGCAGGUGCGAAAGCAGGUCAUAGUGAUCCGGUGGUUCUGAAUGGAAGGGCCAUCGCUCAACGGAUAAAAGGUACUCCGGGGAUAACAGGCUGAUACCGCCCAAGAGUUCAUAUCGACGGCGGUGUUUGGCACCUCGAUGUCGGCUCAUCACAUCCUGGGGCUGAAGUAGGUCCCAAGGGUAUGGCUGUUCGCCAUUUAAAGUGGUACGCGAGCUGGGUUUAGAACGUCGUGAGACAGUUCGGUCCCUAUCUGCCGUGGGCGCUGGAGAACUGAGGGGGGCUGCUCCUAGUACGAGAGGACCGGAGUGGACGCAUCACUGGUGUUCGGGUUGUCAUGCCAAUGGCACUGCCCGGUAGCUAAAUGCGGAAGAGAUAAGUGCUGAAAGCAUCUAAGCACGAAACUUGCCCCGAGAUGAGUUCUCCCUGACUCCUUGAGAGUCCUGAAGGAACGUUGAAGACGACGACGUUGAUAGGCCGGGUGUGUAAGCGCAGCGAUGCGUUGAGCUAACCGGUACUAAUGAACCGUGAGGCUUAACCUU